CUGUUGUUAAGGAACUCGGCAAAAUGACCCCGUAACUUAGGGAUAAGGGGUGCCACCAUCAGGUGGCCGCAGAGAAUAGGCCCAAGCGACUGUUUACCAAAAACAUAGGUUUCUGCUAAGUCGCAAGACGAUGUAUAGGAGCUGACGCCUGCCCGGUGCUGGAAGGUUAAGGGGAUCUGUUAGAGCAAUCGAAGCAGUGAACUUAAGCCCCAGUAAACGGCGGCCGUAACUAUAACGGUCCUAAGGUAGCGAAAUUCCUUGUCGGGUAAGUUCCGACCCGCACGAAAGGCGUAACGAUUUGGGCACUGUCUCAACAACAGACUCGGUGAAAUUGUAAUUCCGGUGAAGAUGCCGGAUACCUGCGACAGGACGGAAAGACCCCAUGGAGCUUUACUGUAGCUUGACAUUGGGUCUUGGUACUACAUGUACAGGAUAGGUGGGAGGCUUUGAAACCAGGACGCCAGUUUUGGCGGAGCCAUCCUUGGGAUACCACCCUUGUAGUACUGGGACUCUAACCAUAGGCCAUGAAUCUGGUCUUGGGACACUGUCAGGUGGGCAGUUUGACUGGGGCGGUCGCCUCCCAAAAGGUAACGGAGGCGCUCAAAGGUUCUCUCAGUACGGUCGGAAAUCGUACGUAGAGUGUAAAGGCAAAAGAGAGCUUGAUUGCAAGACAUACAGGUCGAGCAAGGAUGAAAAUCGGACUUAGUGAUCCGGUGGUUCUGCGUGGAAGGGCCAUCGCUCAACGGAUAAAAGCUACCCUGGGGAUAACAGGCUUAUCUCCCCC
Molecule: ribosomal RNA, 784 nt
Filed under: Clostridioides difficile
Lineage: Bacteria; Bacillati; Bacillota; Clostridia; Peptostreptococcales; Peptostreptococcaceae
Description: partial 23S ribosomal RNA
Rfam family: Bacterial large subunit ribosomal RNA
Source: RNAcentral